GAUGAACGCUGGCGGCGUGCCUAAUACAUGCAAGUCGAGCGAACAGACGAGGAGCUUGCUCCUCUGCCGUUAGCGGCGGACGGGUGAGUAACACGUGGAUAACAUACUUCUAAGACUGGGAUAACUUCGGGAAACCGGAGCUACUACCAGAUAAUAUAUUGAACCGCAUGGUUCAAUAGUGAAAGACGCUUUUGCUGUCUCUUUUAGCUGAUUCCGCGCCGCAUUAGCUAGUUGGUAAGGUAACGGCUUACCAAGGCAACGAUGCGUAGCCGACCUGAGAGGAUGAUCAGCCACACUGGAACUGAGACACGGUCCAGACUCCUACGGGAGGCAGCAGUAGGGAAUCUUCCGCAAUGGGCGAAAGCCUGACGCAGCAACGCCGCGUGAGUGAAGAAGGUCUUCGGAUCGUAAAGCUCUGUUAUUAGGGAAGAACAAAUGUGUAAGUAACUAUGCACGUCUUGACGGUACCUAAUCAGAAAGCCACGGCUAACUACGUG
This 497-nucleotide ribosomal RNA is filed under the name uncultured bacterium. Its description in RNAcentral is "partial 16S ribosomal RNA". It matches the Rfam family "Bacterial small subunit ribosomal RNA", at positions 28 to 507 of the family's 1533-position model. The record is from RNAcentral.